Molecule: transfer RNA, 72 nt
Filed under: Taxonus zhangi
Lineage: Eukaryota; Metazoa; Arthropoda; Insecta; Hymenoptera; Tenthredinidae
Description: tRNA-Asp
Source: RNAcentral
AAAGAAUUAAUUAAAUUAUAUAAUAUUAGUAUGUCAUACUAAAAUAAUUAGCCAUUAAACUAAUAUUCUUUU